UACGGGGGGAGCAAGCGUUGUUCGGAUUUACUGGGCGUAAAGGGCGCGUAGGCGGUCGUGACAAGUCACUUGUGAAAUCUCCGGGCUUAACUCGGAACGGUCAAGUGAUACUGUCGGACUAGAGUACAGAAGGGGCAACUGGAAUUCUCGGUGUAGCGGUGAAAUGCGUAGAUAUCGAGAGGAACACCUGCGGCGAAGGCGGGUUGCUGGGCCGACACUGACGCUGAGGCGCGAAAGCCAGGGGAGCGAACGGG
Molecule: ribosomal RNA, 254 nt
Filed under: uncultured bacterium
Lineage: Bacteria
Description: partial 16S ribosomal RNA
Rfam family: Bacterial small subunit ribosomal RNA
Source: RNAcentral